Molecule: transfer RNA, 62 nt
Filed under: Eutreptiella gymnastica
Lineage: Eukaryota; Euglenozoa; Euglenophyceae; Eutreptiales; Eutreptiaceae
Source: RNAcentral
AGUACCCCAGUGGUAGAUCACUGGACAUUCAAUUGCUCUGGGGCUGGUUCAAUUCCUGGCAC